This 372-nucleotide ribosomal RNA is filed under the name uncultured organism. RNAcentral describes it as "partial 16S ribosomal RNA". It matches the Rfam family "Bacterial small subunit ribosomal RNA", at positions 527 to 896 of the family's 1533-position model. The record is from RNAcentral.
GUAGGUGGCAAGCGUUGUCCGGAAUUAUGGGCGUAAAGCGCGCGCAGGUGGGUUCUUUAAGUCUGAUGUGAAAGCCCCCGGGCUCAACCGGGGAGGGUCAUUGGAAACUGGGGAACUUGAGUGCAGGAGAGGAAAGUGGAAUUCCACGAGUAGCGGUGAAAUGCGUAGAUAUGUGGAGGAACACCAGUGGCGAAGGCGACUUUCUGGCCUGUAACUGACACUGAGGCGCGAAAGCGUGGGGAGCAAACAGGAUUAGAUACCCUGGUAGUCCACGCCGUAAACGAUGAGUGCUAAGUGUUGGGGGGUUUCCGCCCCUCAGUGCUGCAGCUAACGCAUUAAGCACUCCGCCUGGGGAGUACGGUCGCAAGACUG